AUGGUUGUUAGAGCAGCCUGGCGCUGAGUCAGCUGCUGUGGACCUUGAGCCGCAGUAAAGCAGUUAUCGAGUGGCAUUUAGAGUGGUCCAUACAGGAGCAGGCACUGCUGAAUGCACACACUACAUGGUUGAAGGAGUCGCUUAAACAAAUCCGGCUAGAGAGAGAUGAAUAUGCUCAACAUAUAAAAGAAGAGAGGGCCCAGUGGCAGCAGAGGAUGAGGAAAAUGUCGCAGGAGGUUCACACAUUGAAGAAGGAGAAGUAUGAAACACAUCGGGGAGAGAAGCUGGAGAGGAGCUUGUCCAAACUCAAAAACCAGAUGGCUGAACCCCUGCUCCCGGAGCCUCCAGCAGUGCCCUCUGAGGUGGAGCUGCAGCACCUGAGGAAGGAGGUUGAGAGUGGCAGCAGAACUCCAAGCCCAGGUGGACAACAAUAAGCGCAUGAGUGUCCUGAUAUUGGGGCAAAAGAAGAGGCUUCAGGAGCAGGAUGAGAGGCUUCGGGAGCAGGACGCGAGGCCUCAGCAGCUGGCCGAGCCACAGAGUAGCUUCGAGGAGCUGAACAAGAACAAAAGUGCACUGCAGUUGGAGCGGCAAGUAGAGGAGCUGCAGGAGAAGCUUGGCGAGGAGUGCCUGGAAGCUGCCAGCCAGCAAAACCAGCCCCUACAGGCCCAGUUGAGCCUCAUGGCUCUCCCUGGGGAAGGAGAUGGAGGAGGACAUCUGGACAGUGAGGAGGAGGAGGCACCUCGGCCCAUGCCGAGCAACCCGGAGGACCUGGAGAGCUGGGAGGCCACGGUUGCAUUUUUCAACUCCGCUGGAGCCAAUGCCCAGGAGGAGCAGGCAUGGUUACAAGAGCAGGUGAAAGAGCAGAGGGUGUGCUGCCAGCGCAUGGCUCACCUGGUGGCCUCAGUCCAGAAGGAGCCAGAGGCAGCGGUCCCAGCCCCAGUGACUGGGGGCGACUCUGUGAGUGGGGAGACCCACCAGGCU
Molecule: long non-coding RNA, 981 nt
Filed under: Pan troglodytes (chimpanzee)
Lineage: Eukaryota; Metazoa; Chordata; Mammalia; Primates; Hominidae
Description: long non-coding RNA NONPTRT005822
Source: RNAcentral